This 301-nucleotide ribosomal RNA is filed under the name uncultured bacterium. RNAcentral describes it as "partial 16S ribosomal RNA". It matches the Rfam family "Bacterial small subunit ribosomal RNA", at positions 509 to 807 of the family's 1533-position model. The record is from RNAcentral.
CAGCCGCCACGGGAAUACGAAGGGUGCAAGCGUUACUCGGAAUUACUGGGCGUAAAGCGUGCGUAGGUGGUGGUUUAAGUCCGUUGUGAAAGCCCUGGGCUCAACCUGGGAAUUGCAGUGGAUACUGGGUCACUAGAGUGUGGUAGAGGAUAGUGGAAUUUCCGGUGUAGCAGUGAAAUGCGUAGAGAUCGGAAGGAACAUCUGUGGCGAAGGCGACUAUCUGGGCCAACACUGACACUGAGGCACGAAAGCGUGGGGAGCAAACAGGAUUAGAUACCCCUGUAGUCCCUGUCUCUUAUAC